RNAcentral lists this ribosomal RNA (390 nucleotides) under uncultured bacterium. Its description in RNAcentral is "bacterial SSU rRNA". It matches the Rfam family "Bacterial small subunit ribosomal RNA", at positions 30 to 420 of the family's 1533-position model. The record is from RNAcentral.
AUUGAACGCUGGCGGCAUGCCUUACACAUGCAAGUCGAACGGCAGCACGGGAGCAAUCCUGGUGGCGAGUGGCGAACGGGUGAGUAAUAUAUCGGAACGUGCCCAGUCGUGGGGAUAACGUAGCGAAAGCUACGCUAAUACCGCAUACGAUCUAUGGAUGAAAGCGGGGGAUCGCAAGACCUCGCGCGAUUGGAGCGGCCGAUAUCAGAUUAGGUAGUUGGUGAGGUAAAGGCUCACCAAGCCGACGAUCUGUAGCUGGUCUGAGAGGACGACCAGCCACACUGGGACUGAGACACGGCCCAGACUCCUACGGGAGGCAGCAGUGGGGAAUUUUUGGACAAUGGGCGCAAGCCUGAUCCAGCAAUGCCGCGUGCAGGAUGAAGGCCUCGG